CAGCUUGCUGUUAUCAAAAGUGGCGCACGGGUGCGUAACGCGUAUGCAACCUACCUCAAUCAGGGGGAUAGCCCGAAGAAAUUCGGAUUAACACCGCAUAACAACACAGUACAGCAUUGUACAAUGUUCAAAUAUUUAUAGGAUUGAGAUGGGCAUGCGUGUCAUUAGCUAGUUGGCGGGGUAACGGCCCACCAAGGCGACGAUGACUAGGGGAUCUGAGAGGAUGACCCCCCACACUGGUACUGAGACACGGACCAGACUCCUACGGGAGGCAGCAGUAAGGAAUAUUGGUCAAUGGAGGCAACUCUGAACCAGCCAUGCCGCGUGCAGGAAGACAGCCCUCUGGGUCGUAAACUGCUUUUAUUCGGGAAUAAACCUUAUUACGUGUAAUAAGCUGAAUGUACCGAAGGAAUAAGGAUCGGCUAACUCCGUGCCAGCAGCCGCGGUAAUACGGAGGAUCCAAGCGUUAUCCGGAUUUAUUGGGUUUAAAGGGUGCGUAGGCGGCUUAUUAAGUCAGGGGUGAAAGACGGUGGCUCAACCAUCGCAGUGCCCUUGAUACUGAUGAGCUUGAAUGAACUAGAGGUAGGCGGAAUGUGACAAGUAGCGGUGAAAUGCAUAGAUAUGUCACAGAACACCGAUUGCGAAGGCAGCUUACUAUGGUUUUAUUGACGCUGAGGCACGAAAGCGUGGGGAUCAAACAGGAUUAGAUACCCUGGUAGUCCACGCCCUAAACGAUGAAUACUCGCUGUUAGCGAUAUACAGUUAGCGGCUAAGCGAAAGCGUUAAGUAUUCCACCUGGGGAGUACGCCCGCAAGGGUGAAACUCAAAGGAAUUGACGGGGGCCCGCACAAGCGGAGGAGCAUGUGGUUUAAUUCGAUGAUACGCGAGGAACCUUACCCGGGCUUGAAAGUUAGUGAAUCAUUUAGAGAUAGAUGAGUGAGCAAUCACACGAAACUAGGUGCUGCAUGGCUGUCGUCAGCUCGUGCCGUGAGGUGUUGGGUUAAGUCCCGCAACGAGCGCAACCCCUAUGUUUAGUUGCCAGCACGUCAAGGUGGGGACUCUAAACAGACUGCCUGUGCAAACAGAGAGGAAGGAGGGGACGACGUCAAGUCAUCAUGGCCCUUACGUCCGGGGCUACACACGUGCUACAAUGGAUGGUACAGAGGGCAGCAAGCUGGUAACAGCAAGCAAAUCUCAAAAAGCCAUUCACAGUUCGGAUAGAGGUCUGCAACUCGACCUCUUGAAGUUGGAUUCGCUAGUAAUCGCGUAUCAGCAAUGACGCGGUGAAUACGUUCCCGGGCCUUGUACACACCGCCCGUCAAGCCAUGGAAGUUGGGGGUAC
This 1342-nucleotide ribosomal RNA is filed under the name Pedobacter sp. M0-94. RNAcentral's name for it is "bacterial SSU rRNA". It matches the Rfam family "Bacterial small subunit ribosomal RNA", at positions 76 to 1420 of the family's 1533-position model. Lineage: Bacteria; Pseudomonadati; Bacteroidota; Sphingobacteriia; Sphingobacteriales; Sphingobacteriaceae. The record is from RNAcentral.